Molecule: ribosomal RNA, 318 nt
Filed under: Triticum aestivum (bread wheat)
Lineage: Eukaryota; Viridiplantae; Streptophyta; Magnoliopsida; Poales; Poaceae
Description: partial small subunit ribosomal RNA
Source: RNAcentral
AUGGCAACUAAGCCAUCAGUAUCCUUCCAAUGGUUUACUAAAUCGACAUCCGUUACUGAAUUUAGAGAUCAAGAAAGCAUUAGGUUAUCUGUGAAAACUCAUGCAGGGAAGAGGCGUUACUGCUGCUCAUCCCACACAUCGUCUGCUGAUGCACCUCCUUCGAGUGCGUUGUUCAUUGCUGCCUCUCCCGACGCAUUGUCCGCUCCCUACUCCUCCCUCCAACAGGUCACCCAGAACCUCUGCUACACCUCCUGCAUGGCGUGCCGGUGCAGAACCUCUACUGCACUCCUCAUUCCCUCACGAUUGUUGUUUGGAUAG